RNAcentral lists this ribosomal RNA (384 nucleotides) under uncultured bacterium. RNAcentral's name for it is "bacterial SSU rRNA". It matches the Rfam family "Bacterial small subunit ribosomal RNA", at positions 82 to 500 of the family's 1533-position model. The record is from RNAcentral.
GUAGCAAUACUUAGUGGCAGACGGGUGAGUAACAUGUAGGUAUCUACCCUAUGGCCUGGAAUAACACGAGGAAACUUGUGCUAAUACCGGAUAAGUCUUUACGGAGAAAGCUUUAUGCACCAUUGGAUGAGCCUGCACUUGAUUAGUUUGUUGGUGGGGUAAUGGCCUACCAAGACUUUGAUCAAUAGCUGAUUUGAGAGGAUGAUCAGCCACAUUGGGACUGAGACACGGCCCAAACUCCUACGGGAGGCAGCAGUGGGGAAUCUUGCACAAUGGAGGAAACUCUGAUGCAGCGAUGCCGCGUGAGUGAAGAAGGCCCUUGGGUUGUAAAGCUCUUUCGUCGGGGAAGAAAAUGACUGUACCCGAAUAAGAAGGUCCGGCUAA